GUUCUAUUGUUUUUUUAAUAUUUUUGCAGCUUUUCUUUUGUUUUUAUUUUUUUCUCUUUUCUCUCUCCGCCUUAUCUUUCUUCUUUCCUCCACAAUCACUGUAUGGUUCCAAAUAUAUCAUCCACCUCCUCCAUUUUACUUCCUCCAUCCCUAUCGCCAUUUUCAUUACUUUCAUUCCACUAAAACAAAAGUUUUAAAAAAUACAAUUUAAUUUUCUUGUCGU
RNAcentral lists this long non-coding RNA (223 nucleotides) under Capsicum annuum. Its description in RNAcentral is "long non-coding RNA (CANN_LNC011752)". Lineage: Eukaryota; Viridiplantae; Streptophyta; Magnoliopsida; Solanales; Solanaceae. The record is from RNAcentral.